AACGAGCGCUGGCGGCGCGCUUAACACAUGCAAGUCGAACGAGAAGGCGUAGCAAUACGCUUGUACAGUGGCGAACGGGUGAGUAAUACGUGGGCGACCUACCCUCGAGUGGGGAAUAACCCGCCGAAAGGCGGGCUAAUGCCGCGUACGCUUCCAUCUUUAUGGAGGUGGAAGGAAAGCCGUGCCGUGGGCACGGCGCUCAAGGAUGGGCUCACGUCCUAUCAGCUUGUUGGAGGGUAACGGCCUACCAAGGCUCCGACGGGUAGCUGGUCUGAGAGGACGAUCAGCCACACUGGCACUGCGACACGGGCCCAGA
RNAcentral lists this ribosomal RNA (316 nucleotides) under uncultured bacterium. Its description in RNAcentral is "bacterial SSU rRNA". It matches the Rfam family "Bacterial small subunit ribosomal RNA", at positions 29 to 335 of the family's 1533-position model. The record is from RNAcentral.